AUUGAACGCUGGCGGCAUGCCUUACACAUGCAAGUCGAACGGCAGCAUGGGUGCUUGCACCUGAUGGCGAGUGGCGAACGGGUGAGUAAUGCAUCGGAACGUACCCGGAAGUGGGGGAUAACGUAGCGAAAGUUACGCUAAUACCGCAUAUUCUGUGAGCAGGAAAGCGGGGGAUCGCAAGACCUCGCGCUUCCGGAGCGGCCGAUGUCGGAUUAGCUAGUUGGCGGGGUAAAGGCCCACCAAGGCAACGAUCCGUAGCGGGUCUGAGAGGAUGAUCCGCCACACUGGGACGGAGACACGGCCCAGAAUCCUACGGGAGGCAGCAGUGGGGAAUUUUGGACAAUGGGCGCAAGCCUGAUCCAGCCAUGCCGCGUGAGUGAAGAAGGCCUUCGGGUUGUAAAGCUCUUUCGGCUGGGAAGAAAUCGCAUCUCCUAAUACGGGGUGUGGAUGACGGUACCAGCAUAAGAAGCACCGGCUAACUACGUGCCAGCCGCCGCCGUAA
RNAcentral lists this ribosomal RNA (502 nucleotides) under uncultured bacterium. RNAcentral's name for it is "partial 16S ribosomal RNA". It matches the Rfam family "Bacterial small subunit ribosomal RNA", at positions 29 to 523 of the family's 1533-position model. The record is from RNAcentral.